GCCUGGAUAGCUCUGUUGGUUAGAGCUUUGUAUUGAUAACACCAAGGCUGCAGGUUCACACAGCUGCAUAUUCCUGCAUUGCAGGGGGUUGGGCU
Non-coding RNA from Podarcis lilfordi (Lilford's wall lizard), 95 nucleotides. Lineage: Eukaryota; Metazoa; Chordata; Lepidosauria; Squamata; Lacertidae. The record is from the annotation of a GenBank genome assembly.